Molecule: unclassified non-coding RNA, 461 nt
Filed under: Zea mays
Lineage: Eukaryota; Viridiplantae; Streptophyta; Magnoliopsida; Poales; Poaceae
Description: misc RNA Zm00001eb266350
Source: RNAcentral
UGAUUUCAAGUUCAAAAGAGAAAGUGUCGUUUUGUUUCAGGUGCAAAAAUAAAGGACAUCAGUUGAGUGACUGUAAUAUUGAGCUAUUUUGUGAAAUUUGUGAUGUCAAAACUCACUUAACUUCGAAAUGUCCGGUGGUUCGUGCCUGCAAAACUUUUGCAAUACCUUGCGGGUAUGCGGUGGAGGGAUUGGGGUUUUACUUUAUACCCCAACCCAUUCCAGUAAAGCAGAGGCAAGGUGGCUGCAAUGGUACAGUGUCUAUUGUGGAGGGUUCCAUGAAUGAAGAGCAGAUUUUGAAUGAGCUUAAAAGGUUGGUGGCUGCUGAUUGGGACUGGUGUGUGAAGUGUGUGGGGAACAAUGUGUUCUCGACGUGUUUCCCUUCCAGGGGUGAACUUCACCGUAUGAUCGAGUGGGGAACUGUUCAUACAAAAUUUGGUGCACAGAUGCUUGUCAAGGAAGAG